Molecule: non-coding RNA, 1308 nt
Organism: Macaca mulatta (Rhesus monkey)
Lineage: Eukaryota; Metazoa; Chordata; Mammalia; Primates; Cercopithecidae
Source: RefSeq, a predicted model, not a curated record
GGUGACAGCAAGAAGUUCUUGGAACUUGGUUUAAUGAUUAUCUUGACUUUUAAAGUUUGUUUUCUCUAUUAUGCUUAUGUGAUCUUAUCGCUUAUAUGUGAAUAUAUUACAAGAUUAUUCAAUUUUAAACAUGAUAGCUGAAGGAGAAGGCUUCUGGAAGCAACAAUAUAUUAUAAGAGGUUGUUUCCAACCGUAUUAUCUACUAUUGUGGCAAUAAACACGAGUCAAGAGUUGAAUAAAAAGAAUUCUUUUUAUCAUCAUCAUCACCAUCAUCCUCAAUCACUGUCAUCACCAUACCACAAGGCAGAGCAAGUCCCUACAGAGCAGGCUGCCCUCAGUGAUGAUGAGUUUUGUAUCUCCCAGAACAUCCCACCUCUUAAAUGUCUAGCAUCUUGUAAGUAUCCUUCCCAUUCAUGUUUCUUCAUAGCUUACUGAGUUCUGUCUCUCCUCUUUUAAAUGGCUUUGUUGAGAUAUAAUUGAUAAAUAAAAAACUGCACGUUUGAUGUGUGCAGUUUGAUGUAUUUGGACGUAUGUAUACAUUGGCAAUACUAUCACCACAAUCAAGAUAAUAAAUAUAUCCAUUAUCUCCAAAAGUUUCCGUGUGUCCCCUCAACCACUUCCUUUUUUGUGUGGUAAAAGCACUUAGCAGAAUGAUCUGGGGAGGAGCAGUCCCUGGGAUCACUGUGUUUAUCUGUUGUCUCUGUACCCCACUUUAAAGCAUCUGAAAGUUUUCUCACACAGUAAUGUAAUCAACCCCAUUUUGUGGCUAUGGAAAUUGUCAGGCACAAAGGUUAAGCAAAUUACCCAAGGCCAUGGAGCAGAUGAGUGAGAGACCUGGGAGUGGAUCCAGGACUCAUAACUGCUCAGUUGAUAUAUUGCUUUCCAUUGCUUGACAAGGCUGCAAGCUGUCCUGCUUCUUCCCAACACACUUGACUAAAGUCAGGUAUUUAAAUUUCCAUUUCUAAGCUGAAGUCAGCAGUAUUUCCAUAACUAGGAUGUUGUCACAACAGAAAAAAUGAAUUAUAAGCAAUGAAUAGAGGUGAAAUAUAUUCAUUCAGAGUCAGUGUUAACACAUUCCAUCUUUCUUCACUUCCUUUAACCUCUUAUUUUCUCCAGGCUGCUUACAAACGUAUUCAAUGUGUUAACAAAAAAACGUAGUAAACACAUUGCCAGAAUAUCAGCAUCGGGAACAAAGAAAAAUACUUUCUAUUUGGUGUUAGCAUAACUGUGCAUUUUAACUAGAUGUAUAUCUCUCUGUGGAUAAUUAACAUGCUAUUUGUAAAUAAAGUAAAAUAUUAAAUAUAUGAA